UGCUAUUUUGGACUCAAACCAAACUGAAAGAAUCUAACUAAUGAAGUUAAGUUUCCUGUGUAAGAGAGUUCUUGAAAUAGUAGCAAGAAUAGUUGUUGUCUAGAGUCUAAGGGAAGUUGGUAAUAGUUGGUAGUAGCAAGAGAGAUUCAGAGAGUUGUUGUCUUAGUUCUCUAUAAGGUUGAGUGUUUUUGAAUCAAUGCAAGAAAG
RNAcentral lists this long non-coding RNA (207 nucleotides) under Eutrema salsugineum. Its description in RNAcentral is "long non-coding RNA (ESAL_LNC001158)". Lineage: Eukaryota; Viridiplantae; Streptophyta; Magnoliopsida; Brassicales; Brassicaceae. The record is from RNAcentral.